UACAUGGGGUGCAAACGUUGCUCGGAAUUAUUGGGCGUAAAGCGUGCGUAGGCGGCUGUUUAAGUCUGGUGUUAAAGCUAGGGGCUCAACCCCUGUGGUGCAUCGGAUACUGGGCAGCUUGAGUGCGGUAGGGGAAGGUGGAAUUCCGAGUGUAGCGGUGAAAUGCGUAGAUAUUCGGAAGAACACCGGUGGCGAAGGCGACCUUCUGGGCCGCAACUGACGCUGAGGCACGAAAGCCUGGGGAGCGAACGGG
RNAcentral lists this ribosomal RNA (253 nucleotides) under uncultured bacterium. RNAcentral's name for it is "partial 16S ribosomal RNA". It matches the Rfam family "Bacterial small subunit ribosomal RNA", at positions 524 to 776 of the family's 1533-position model. The record is from RNAcentral.